Molecule: long non-coding RNA, 1528 nt
Organism: Gasterosteus aculeatus aculeatus (three-spined stickleback)
Lineage: Eukaryota; Metazoa; Chordata; Actinopteri; Perciformes; Gasterosteidae
Source: Ensembl
AGAAUACUCACAAAAUGGUUACUCAACAGACAUCGUUGACCAAAACUUCACAAAAGCAGCGGUUGGCUGUCGACCUCUACUCACUUUAACAAGGAUAAUCAAGAUGAUUUGCUGCUGUCCCUUUUUAAAAAAGAUAUGUAAAAAUGUUGUGGGUGUGGAGGCAGAUGAGAGUCAGCAGACACUUGUCUCUCAGAUAAGUACAGCGUCCACAGUGUCGCUGCCACUCUUGCUGCCACCAGCAAGAAACAUGAAGAAACUGUCGUCACAUCACAAGAUGAAGUGGUGCUGGGGUCUAUGCAGGGGGCGGCACAGUGCCGUGGUGGUCAGCACUGUCGCCUCACAGCAAGAAGGUCCUGGGUUCGAUUCCGCCCAGUGGCCUUUCUGUGUGGAGUCUGCAUGUUCUCCCCGUGUCUGCGUGGGUUCUCUCCGGGUUCUCCGGCUUCCUCCCACAGUCCAAAGACAUGCUCUGGAGAUCAGGUUUUGGAGAUCAGGCUGCUCAGACACAAGAAGAUCAGGUGUCUUGGAUUUCCUAAUCCAGGACAUAUCUGUUACAUGAACUCCUGCCUGCAGAGCCUCCUGACGCUGAAGGACUUCGUCAGGGCCAUCAGACGCCAGGAGCAUCUCUGGACUUUGAUCCCAGAGGCUGCAGUAAUCAGAGCAUUUAUGGACAUCCAAAGGUCUCACCUCUCAGGUGAUGUCAGUCACAAAAUCGAUCUCCUAAUUGCAUUCAAGAGCACGAUUUGUUCUCAGAAGUUCCAGGAUUAUGACCAGAAGGAUUCGCACGAGUUUCUCACCUGCGUGCUGCAGCAGAUGAGAUGCUUAAGCCCAAAGCUUCAGAUGAUGGCUGCCAUCCAGGGCCGACCCUACAGCUGUCUUGUGGAGGAUCACAUUGUCUUUAAAAUGGCCAACACCCGGACCGGCAAGGAGUGCGAGACAGAAUCCACCUGAGAGGACCAGUUCACCAACCUCUCCCUGAACGUGGUCACUGGAGACGUAAGCGUGCAGCAGAUGCUCCAGGAUUACAUGAUGGAGAAAAACGUGGGCUACAACUGUGAAUGCGGAGCCAGCACCUCAGGGUGCUGUUCUUGCACCUAACGCGCUUUAGGUUUACUGCACCCUCCCAACUUGAAAAGGUACAUGAAUCAGUCGUUAUCCUCAGAGAGCUGGUGGUGAGAUCUAACCCGGAUUGCGGCCACUACAGUCUGGUCAGUACCAUCAACCACAUCGGCAUCACAGCAAGAUGCGGGCACUACAGCUGUGACGGGGUGGAUCCAGAUGUGGAAGAGGAGUACCAAGCUAACUGCUGGUUCUACUACAACGACGCAGAGGUCACUAAAACAAGCACACACUCUGUGUGCAACAAGCUGAAAAACUCCUGCUACAUACUUUCCUACAGAAGACAGGUCAGAGACAGACGCUGUAAACACAUCGGCAGGAGUGGGGGUGCGACAGGGUCAGUGUCCAGAGGACAGAACAUGGGACCGCGUCCAGUGGAUGGAUGAUGCGUGUGUUCCGAGCAUAAUAAAAU